GGUUUGGGGGUGGGAGGUGGGCAGUGUGUGUGUGUGUGUGUGUGUGUAUGUGGGGGGUUACAUUCAUGAUUAGUUAAGGAAGUGGUAGACGGUAGACCAUCUUGCGGAACAUGAAGCGUUACCGACGAUGUCGACCAGCUCCUGGCGCCAGCUCGAGCUCCAGCUCCAGCUCCAGCGCGUAGACCCUCCGAAGUAGUGUUCCCGUAUGAUAUAAAGCUGCUGCAUAGCCUGACACGACCUAAGUUCGCGGCGGCACGGCGACACUACUACGCGCGACUAGUCGCGAUCUACGGACGCUCGCUGCCCUAAUAGCUUUCCUACAUACCCCGGCGUGUACUCACCUGCGGCGUGGCAUUGGAACCCACGCCGCGUGACGUCCAGACAUCCAUGCAUAGCAAGAAACGGGAGGGCGAGGUGAGAGGCAAAAGGCAAAAGCAAAGGAACCUAAAUGCUAUGGCCGCCGCGACGGGAAUGGACGCGCGCAAACGCUAAGUAGGCCACGGAAUUGGACCCAUGCUGGCAUGUGGAGGGGGACUAGGGGCUGCGUGGCGGGGCUCCUAAGAGCUCCCACGGGGUGGUGGCCCAGAGAGUCGCAGGUGGGUGGGGUGCCCUGCUAUCCUUUGCCGCGUGGACGGUGUGUUUUCCCUGGAAACCCGGCUAUGUGGGGGGGGGGAUGGUGUUGGUGUUGAUGUUCUUUCACAUGUGAAAGCACAUGUGAAAGAGGGAAACAGUAGUGUCUGUGUGUGUGUGCUGGAGGAGUGAGAGGCAUAUACGCCCAAGCCCAACGAAUACUACGAAGGUCCCAUACUGGGGCUUGUUUCCCCAUUCCCAGUAAGGAAUCGUCGACACGAGGACUCAUGGCAAGACAAGCACGCAUGCACACGGUGUCCCCUACCCCUGGCACGCACGUACACGGCCACCUCCCGCCCCCCCCCCGCACCUCCAGGUGGUUCAGGUCGUUGUGCCGGUACACGUGCAGGCUCACGCCGCCGCCGCCACCAGCCGAUCCAGAUCCAGAACUGCUAGAUCCAGAGCUGGAUCCGGAUCUCAGCGCCAGCCGCGCGCCGUCGAUGAUGGAGGCGUGGUUGAGUUCGUCGCUGAAUAUGGCCACACCGCCCUCGCCUGUGGAGGUGAGGGUGUGAGGCGGUUGGGUCAGUCUAUGGGUGGGUGGGUGCGUGGGUGGGUCAGCCUAUGGGUGGGUGGGUGGGUGGAUUAUUGAGUCGCCGUGGGGAGUUUGAGGGUGGGUGGUGCGGUGAGGGCCCACAGCGCCCUGUCCACCACCGCAGUGCCAACACCAUUGCACACCGCUAAUCCCCAUGCAGCCAGGCACGGGGCACCGGGCAUCGGGUGCUCGCACACACAGUACGCUGCAAACAUACGCGUAUGCAUGUGCGGUCGCGCACUCGUCCUGUUUCUAUUGGUUAUCCUCGUUUGCCACACAUGCACACACGCAUACACGCAAGCAUACAUUUAAUACAUAAUAUACUUUAUAUACAUAUGCUUAUAUAUAUAUAGGGUAUAUAUACAUAUAUAUAAGCAUGCGCCCACCUGCGGCGGUGCCUGCCAGGGUAGUGAGCACGGACAGGUUGGCUGCGAACCCGGUGGGGAACAGCAGGCAGUCCUCGGCGCCCUGGGGGGGAGGCGUGUGUAGGAGUGGGAAGUUUGGUGGUAUGCAAGAGACGUUGCAUGGAAGGUGUGUGCCUGUGCGUAUCAGCGCCUGCACGUCCUCUUUGCCUCCCAUGCUCCCCUGCCCCCCUGCCCUGUUGCCCCCCUGCCCCGCCUGCCACCCUCCGCCAGCUCUCGCCCUAGGCUUUGGAAGCAUCGCCCGGCCUGCAAGUCACCCCCCGGCCUCCCGCCUGCUACUGCCUGCCCCCCGGCCUGCUACAGCCUCCCGCCUGCUACUGCCUGCCCCCCGGCCUGCUACAGCCUCCCACCCCCCACCAUCACCUUGAGCUGCGCCAGGCCCGCCUCCAGCUGCCGGUGGCUGUGGCUGUAGCCGGCCACCAGCGCGCUGCUGCGGGGGCCCAGGCCCACCUGGUGGGAGAGGGGUGGAGGGGUGGGGGUGGGCGGGUGGAGAGGCCGUGGAGAAGGUGGCGUGCUUUGGAAAACAUAGCGCGGCGUGUAUGUAGUCCCACAUGGCUUAUCCAUGGGACACGACGCGAGCACAGAAACCCGCCCCUACCCCAGCAGGGGUACAGAGCUGCCCCGUCAGGGUACACCAACGUCUGGGUCGUGAUCCCAUUCAUUGUCCGCCCUUCCCCGCACCUUACAAGUCGCUCCUGCACCCGCUGCCCCUCAUGCACGCCUUGGCGCCUGGAUGGUUGGGUCUCAAUGUCCCAUUCCCGUGCCUUUUCCCCUCCGCCCCUCCUGCUCCCCCCAGCCUCUCACCCGCAGUGCCGACCGCGCCGCCGCCGCCGCCACGUCCGGAUGUGAGGCGAGCCCCAGGUAGUCAUUCAGCGAGAACAGCUUUAGCCGUACC
Molecule: long non-coding RNA, 2479 nt
Filed under: Chlamydomonas reinhardtii
Lineage: Eukaryota; Viridiplantae; Chlorophyta; Chlorophyceae; Chlamydomonadales; Chlamydomonadaceae
Description: long non-coding RNA (CREI_LNC001364)
Source: RNAcentral